Long non-coding RNA from Bombyx mori (domestic silkworm), 964 nucleotides. RefSeq lists it as uncharacterized. The record is from RefSeq and is a predicted model, not a curated record. The transcript is spliced from 3 exons. NCBI's taxonomy places the organism in Eukaryota, Metazoa, Arthropoda, Insecta, Lepidoptera, Bombycidae.
UUUUAUUAAAUUUCAUCAUCACAAACAUUCUACAAGACCAUAAAUCAUCACAUAUAGCACUCUGAAAAUUUAGGAUAGCAAAAUUAAAAUGUCCUCAAGCAAUUCCUUAGAACAUGGAAUUUACUAUAACUGAACAUAAGCAUCUCUUAUUUCAGAAUAAAUGAUGAUAUCACCUGAUUAAUUGCCUACAUGCGGUUUCGAAGGUUCGGUUUUCAACGAAAAAUGUCUGUUAUUCUGUACAGUACACCAGAAUAUGUUAAUAGUAUAUAUAAUCGGACUGAUUGUCUAAAUUAGAAAAUGAUCAAUGCAUACGGAUUAUCGUUUUCCAGCUUAUUAGACUAAUAAAAGUAGCGGGGCCCGGUUUCCCAAAACAAUUUAAACAGAAAUUUUCACUAUUUUGAAAUUGAUAAUCGCGAGGCUAAGCAGUUAUAUUAUUAAAAUUAGUAGUUUCAGUUUGUUAUCGAAUUCGGUAACCCUACACAAUUGGACAGAGAUAAAUGGAUGUCAAAACAGUGUGAUGGAGCGAGAGAGAUGAAGGCGGUUCGUCGCGUGUUUAUCCUUUAAGAUUGCAACACAAACAUAUUAUUAUAUACGAAUAGAUAACAACAUAGAUACAUACAGAUAGCACAGAUAUAACAAUUUAAAAAAUGAGCAAUGAGUAUUAAAUAAGAAUUGUUACGAUUGGCGAGGCCUAAAGGUAUAUUUCUACACAUCGAGGGGUAAAAGGAUAUUUGUUUUAAGCGAUUAUUAUUACUAAGGAUUUCUUUUUUAUUGCUUAGUUGGGUGGACGAGCUCGCAGCCCACCUGGUGUUAAGUGGUUACUGGAGCCCAUGGGCAUCUACAACGUAAAUGCGCCACCCACCUUGAGAUAUAAGUUCUAAGAUCUCAGUAUAGUUACAACGGCUGCUCCACCCUUCAAGCCGAAACGCAUUACUGCUUCACGGCAGAAAUAGGCAGGGCGGUG